GGGGAUUUAGCUCAGUGGUAGAGCGCUUGCCUAGCAAACGCAAAGCCCUGGGUUCAGUCCCCA
Molecule: non-coding RNA, 63 nt
Organism: Rattus norvegicus (Norway rat)
Lineage: Eukaryota; Metazoa; Chordata; Mammalia; Rodentia; Muridae
Source: Rfam